UACGUAGGGGGCAAGCGUUGUCCGGAUUUACUGGGUGUAAAGGGAGCGUAGGCGGCUGUGUAAGCCAGAAGUGAAAGCCCGGGGCUCAACUCCGGGACUGCUUUUGGAACUACAUGGCUUGAUUGCAGGAGAGGCAAGUGGAAUUCCUAGUGUAGCGGUGAAAUGCGUAGAUAUUAGGAGGAACACCAGUGGCAAAGGCGGCUUGCUGGACUGUAAAUGACGCUGAGGCUCGAAAGCGUGGGGAGCAAACAGG
RNAcentral lists this ribosomal RNA (253 nucleotides) under uncultured bacterium. RNAcentral's name for it is "partial 16S ribosomal RNA". It matches the Rfam family "Bacterial small subunit ribosomal RNA", at positions 524 to 776 of the family's 1533-position model. The record is from RNAcentral.